This is a long non-coding RNA of Girardinichthys multiradiatus, 359 nucleotides long. RefSeq lists it as uncharacterized. NCBI's taxonomy places the organism in Eukaryota, Metazoa, Chordata, Actinopteri, Cyprinodontiformes, Goodeidae. The transcript is spliced from 2 exons. The record is from RefSeq and is a predicted model, not a curated record.
UAUUACCCAGGCUGGAUCGUCGAACUGCUUUGUUACCCCACUUUGUCUCGGACCUUUGGAGUACCUGAGCUUGAGACGCCACGUUGUUAUUGUUCUACUGGACUAACCUUGCUGGCUGCCGCCAAGUGCCUCCUGCCUCACACCAAUUCCACUGAAUCUGUCCAUCCCCCACCGCUCUCAAGCGACCCAGCUCUGGCAUCGUACUACCACUCGCUGUUGCACACUCCUGGUUUGGAAGCCUUUGUACUCACCGCAGUCAGUCUGAAUCCCUCUCCUCCUGGCGGAGAGCACCCAACCUACCCUGCCAUGUACCAGAGUAUCCAGUAUUCCUGUAUUCAAUAAACGUAUUUACAAACGUU